AAUAAAGUAAUAUAUAUUAUUAUAAAGUAUUGAAAAUGCUUAAAAAGGCGCGUAGUGUCUCUUUAUUA
Molecule: non-coding RNA, 68 nt
Organism: Styela clava
Lineage: Eukaryota; Metazoa; Chordata; Ascidiacea; Stolidobranchia; Styelidae
Source: the annotation of a RefSeq genome assembly